AGUAAAAGUCGUAACAAGGUUUCCGUAGGUGAACCUGCGGAAGGAUCAUUAUUGAAACAUGGGGUCGCUCUGGUGAGCCCUGCGCCGGCGGAGACGUCGUGCUGCGGGACCCAGUCGGCUUCGUCCACCCUCACACCCCUGUGCACCUUUGGGAAGGCCGGGCCCCUGGCCCCGUCGGCCCGCUCACAGACUCUUGCAUUUGUACCAUGAAUGUCUCUGCGGACUCCGAGCCGCUUGAAAUUAGUAACAACUUUCAACAACGGAUCUCUUGGCUCUCGCAUCGAUGAAGAACGCAGCGAAAUGCGAUAAGUAAUGUGAAUUGCAGAAUUCAGUGAAUCAUCGAAUCUUUGAACGCACCUUGCGCUCCUUGGUAUUCCGAGGAGCAUGCCUGUUUGAGUGUCUUGAAAUCAUCAAGCCAUUGGUUUUUGCGGACCUUGGGCUUGGACUUGGGGGUCCUGCUGCGGUGACGUGGCUCCCCUUAAAUGCAUCGGUCGGACCUUUUGGGGCUCCUUUCUCCUGGGCGUUGUAGCAUCCUCGUCUGACGGGAGGGCCCUGUGCCGACCUCGGCCUGCCUCUGGAGCGGCGGCCAAUUUGAAUUGAAAUCUGACCUCAAAUCAGGUAGGACUACCCGCUGAACUUAAGCAUAUCAAUAAGCGGAGGAA
RNAcentral lists this ribosomal RNA (662 nucleotides) under Trechisporales sp. RNAcentral describes it as "eukaryotic LSU rRNA". The stretch from base 249 to 402 matches the Rfam family "5.8S ribosomal RNA". The record is from RNAcentral. Lineage: Eukaryota; Fungi; Basidiomycota; Agaricomycetes; Trechisporales.